UACGUAGGUGGCAAGCGUUAUCCGGAAUUACUGGGCGUAAAGGGUGCGUAGGUGGUUUCUUAAGUCAGAGGUGAAAGGCUACGGCUCAACCGUAGUAAGCCUUUGAAACUGGGAAACUUGAGUGCAGGAGAGGAGAGUGGAAUUCCUAGUGUAGCGGUGAAAUGCGUAGAUAUUAGGAGGAACACCAGUUGCGAAGGCGGCUCUCUGGACUGUAACUGACACUGAGGCACGAAAGCGUGGGGAGCAAACAGGAUUAGAUACCCGUGUAGUCCCUGA
Molecule: ribosomal RNA, 276 nt
Filed under: uncultured prokaryote
Description: partial 16S ribosomal RNA
Rfam family: Bacterial small subunit ribosomal RNA
Source: RNAcentral